UAGUAACAGUUCCUGGGAAUAUUUGUAAGGUCUCCUGGACAAUUUCAGUUUGUUAGUAGGAAAGAAAGUAGUUACUCCAUUCUUACUACACAUGUGUAAAGAAAAUAUCAACAGAUAAAAUAAGACUUUUAAGUACGCUCUUUCAGUUAGGUUCGUACCCAUGCUCCUUUAGAUCCUUCAGAAAAGUCUAACAUUUCUGUCAUUCAUGGCUUUUCCUUGCAAAGGCUCUUUCCCAGUAUGCCACAUUUGUUCAGUUGUGGAGGAAUACUGUUUUCUAUUACACUUGCUUGAGCUUGUCCAUUACAAAUUGUAAAUGCUCCAUUGAACUGUAAUUCCCAGAAUUUGCCUUUGGCACAUUUUAAAGGUUUCUAUUGUAAUUGCCACCCUCCAUUAUUUUUGUAAUGAGACCUAUUUAAGUGAUACAUUGCAUGCUGAAGGAUGUGGACAUGGUGUAUUGGAAUUCUUUUUGGGAGCUCUAGUGAAAAUCAUCUCUUCAUGGCAGCUUGCUUGAAAACUCUUUUUACUGAUAUUUCAAUAUAAAGAAGAUUCCUGAAGUUUAUUCUUUUUUUU
Strigops habroptila (Kakapo) is the source of this 570-nucleotide long non-coding RNA. RefSeq lists it as uncharacterized. The record is from RefSeq and is a predicted model, not a curated record. The transcript is spliced from 2 exons. Lineage: Eukaryota; Metazoa; Chordata; Aves; Psittaciformes; Psittacidae.